Molecule: long non-coding RNA, 1126 nt
Organism: Pan troglodytes (chimpanzee)
Lineage: Eukaryota; Metazoa; Chordata; Mammalia; Primates; Hominidae
Exons: 2
Source: RefSeq, a predicted model, not a curated record
GUGGGAUCACAUCCCACAGCCGGGUGGUCCCUAAAUGAGCUGAUUCUCAUCAAAGCUGAGAAGCAUAGUCAGGUGUGGUGGCUCACGCCUGUAAUCCCAGCACAUUCGGAGGCCAAGGUGGACGGGCCACUUGAGGCCAGGAGUUCGAGGCCAGCCUGGCCAACAUGGAGAAAUCUUGUCUCUAAAAAAUAAAAGAAUAAAGAAGAAGCAGAACUUUGUAGAGUCCCUCCAGGAAGCAGUGCCACGAGGCCUUGGGGCUGCUUACUACAACUGAAGGAAGUGUAAGCGACCGUCUCUCUGAGACAGCCAGAGAUGAAGUCUCACUAGGUUGCCCAGACUGAUCUUGAACCCCUGGACUCCAGCAAUCCACCUGCCUUGGCCUCCCAAAGUGCUUGGAUUAUGCGUGUGAGCCGUUGCACCUGCCCCAUACCUGAAUUCUUUAUUGAGUGGAAAAUAUGGCUGACCACAACGCCCAGAUUUUAUAGACAGUAGUUCCACUGCCUUUGGGAAUCCAGUUCUUUUUCCCAAUUUCAGGUAUUAAUAUCCUAGGGAAUUCUCUGAUGUGCUUUUGGGUUUACCGGCCUCCCAUGGACCAUUCAUGUGUAGGAGGCAUGAAGGCCAGGGCACGUGAAAGCAUGCCUGCCGCCCUGGACACUGUUCAGCAGGUCCCAGAAGGAGCCUAUGUUUACAGAGUAAGAGGAGAGGCUGACCAGCAAACAGAAGGGUCUGAUUCAUCCCCAAAUCACGAGACAAGCAAGGUGAGAGCAUUCUCCGCUGUUCCCCUUUGUUGCGUCUCUCUACCUCAUGCCUCUCCAGCUCCUGUUUGCCUUCAGGCCAUUCUCACAGGCAAUGCUGAGUGGAAUCAACUUCCAGACAUAAGGCAUAGAAGCCACACUACGUGUGGGUUGCUUGCAUUGAUAGAACAAUUUCCAGAAAGCUGCUGGCCAUCUCUUGUGUUAUAGAGAGAAAGAAAUCUCUUCAUCUCACGUAUAAGGCCAAAAUGGGAGUAUUAUUAAUGCAUCUUAAUGCUGACAAUGCCAUUUUCUGCCACCUACACUGACACUCAUAUUUGUUUUUGUGAUUUAUAACAGCAGUAUUGUUUAAUUAAAUGUUAAUUGCACCAGGA